UUCAUUAGGUGAAGUAAUGGAAGAUAAUGAGGACGUUGUUAAACAAAUCAGAGAAUCACUUGGUGGAUUACAUCAAAUUACAGCUGCACAACUUGAGAAAAUGCCCAUAGAUAAAUUACCAAUAUCGGAUAUAAGAAAAAUACCCCCACAAGCCAUGAGGGAUGCUGCAUCCAAAAUCCGUGACGAAAGACAGAAAAUGACCAAGGCCAAACAACGUGAAGUAUCUAAACAAUUGAAAGAAGCCUUUAAUGUAACGGGUAAUAAUCCCAUCCCUGAUGAUAUGACAGCUGCUGAGAUCGCUACAAUUAUACAAUUUAAUCCUAAUGAUAGGACAAUCUUGGAUAAAAUUCCCCCGCGGAUGUUAGAAAACGUCACAAACGAAAUGUCAGAGGUUGAAUUAGAACAAGAUGAGAAAAUUGGUAUGGUGGAAAAAUUGAGAAAAACAUCAUUGAAGAAUUUUAACAGCUGGGAUAUUAAUAAAGUCAAAUCCAUGAAGAAUUUUAUUGGUGGUCUAGCUAACCAGGAAUUUAAUGACAUCCCAGAAGCUAACAUACGAGCCGUUUUAGAUGAGGGUGAAUUUUCUGGUGUUGAUUUA
Long non-coding RNA from Patella vulgata (common limpet), 595 nucleotides. RefSeq lists it as uncharacterized. The record is from RefSeq and is a predicted model, not a curated record. The transcript is spliced from 4 exons. Lineage: Eukaryota; Metazoa; Mollusca; Gastropoda; Patellidae.